AAGUACGGUAAUUACGUGGGACGUAAAGCGCAUGCGAGGCGUUUGUUAAGUCAGAUGUGAAAGCCCGGGGCUUAACCUCGGAAUAGCAUUUGAAACUGGCAGACUAGAGUACUGUAGAGGGGGGUAGGAAUUUCAGGUGUAGCGGUGAAAUGCGUAGAGAUCUGAAGGAAUACCGGUGGCGAAGGCGGCCCCCUCGGACAGAUACUGACACUCAGAUGCGAAAGCGUGGGGAGCAAACAGGAUUAGAUACCCUGGUAG
This 258-nucleotide ribosomal RNA is filed under the name uncultured bacterium. RNAcentral describes it as "partial 16S ribosomal RNA". It matches the Rfam family "Bacterial small subunit ribosomal RNA", at positions 556 to 793 of the family's 1533-position model. The record is from RNAcentral.